This 734-nucleotide ribosomal RNA is filed under the name uncultured bacterium. RNAcentral's name for it is "bacterial SSU rRNA". It matches the Rfam family "Bacterial small subunit ribosomal RNA", at positions 8 to 720 of the family's 1533-position model. The record is from RNAcentral.
AGAGUUUGAUCCUGACUCAGAACGAACGCUGGCGGCGUGCCUAACACAUGCAAGUCCAACGUGAAAGGGGAGCAAUCCCCCGGUAGGGUGGCAAACGGGUGAGUAAUACAUGGGUGAUCUACCUUAGGGAUGGGGAUAUCCUUCCGAAAGGAGGGGCAAUACCGAAUAUUGUCCGGAGCCGUGAAGGGUUCCGGGGAAAGGGAGGCCUCUGAUACAAGCUUUCGCCUUAAGAUGAGCCCAUGGCCCAUCAGCUAGUUGGUAGGGUAAAGGCCUACCAAGGCUACGACGGGUCGCUGGUCUGAGAGGACGACCAGCCACACUGGCACUGAGAUACGGGCCAGACUCCUACGGGAGGCAGCAGUGAGGAAUAUUGCGCAAUGGGGGAAACCCUGACGCAGCAACGCCGCGUGUGGGAAGAAGGCCUUCGGGUCGUAAACCACUUUUGCACGGGACGAAAAAGGGAUAUCGAACAAAUAUCCCCGAUGACGGUACCGUGAGAAUAAGCCACGGCUAACUCUGUGCCAGCAGCCGCGGUAAGACAGAGGUGGCAAGCGUUGUUCGGAACUACUGGGCGUAAAGAGUCUGUAGGUGGUUUGUCAAGUCUUUGGUGAAAGGCCGUAGCUUAACUAUGGGAAUGCCAAAGAGACUGGCAGGCUGGAGGCUGGGAGAGGGAAGCGGAAUUUCUGGUGUAGCGGUGAAAUGCGUAGAUAUCAGAAGGAAGGCCGGUGGCGAAG